UACGGAGGGUGCAAGCGUUAAUCGGAUUUAUUGGGUUUAAAGGGUGCGUAGGUGGCUGAUUAAGUCAGUGGUGAAAGUUUGUCGCUCAACGAUAAAAUUGCCAUUGAAACUGGUUAGCUUGAGUAUGUUUGAGGUAGGCGGAAUGCGUAGUGUAGCGGUGAAAUGCAUAGAUAUUACGCAGAACUCCAAUUGCGAAGGCAGCUUACUAAACCAUAACCGACACUGAAGCACGAAAGCGUGGGUAUCAAACAGG
This 253-nucleotide ribosomal RNA is filed under the name uncultured bacterium. RNAcentral's name for it is "partial 16S ribosomal RNA". It matches the Rfam family "Bacterial small subunit ribosomal RNA", at positions 524 to 776 of the family's 1533-position model. The record is from RNAcentral.